RNAcentral lists this ribosomal RNA (415 nucleotides) under uncultured prokaryote. RNAcentral's name for it is "bacterial SSU rRNA". It matches the Rfam family "Bacterial small subunit ribosomal RNA", at positions 505 to 918 of the family's 1533-position model. The record is from RNAcentral.
GUGUCAGCAGCCGCGGUAAUACGUAGGAGGCAAGCGUUAUCCGGAUUUACCGGGCGUAAAGAGUGCGUAGGCGGUUUGGUAAGUCGGAUGUGAAAUCUCCCGGCUUAACCGGGAGGAGUCAUCCGAUACUGUCAGACUAGAGUGCAGCAGGGGGAAGUGGAAUUCCCGGUGUAGUGGUGAUAUGCGUAGAUAUCGGGAGGAACACCAGUGGCGAAGGCGGCUUCCUGGGCUGUUUCUGACGCUGAGGCUCGAAAGUGUGGGGAGCGAACAGGAUUAGAUACCCUGGUAGUCCACACUGUAAACGAUGGACACUAGGUAUGGGGAGUAUCGACCCUCUCCGUGCCGAAGUUAACGCGUUAAGUGUCCCGCCUGGGGACUACGGCCGCAAGGCUAAAACUUAAAGGAAUUGGCGGGG